UCGUGUGUACAUCAUUGGGAAUGGAGGGAAAUAAAUGACUGGAUGGUCGCUGCUUUUUAAGUUUCAAAUUGACAUUCCAGACAAGCGGUGCCUGAGCCCGUGCCUGUCUUCAGAUCUUCACAGCACAGUUCCUGGGAAGGUGGAGCCACCAGCCUCUCCCUGCCCUAGCAGAUGCUAAUCCAGCGUGCGUCCUGGCAGAGGUUGAAGGGGGCUCCUCAAGUCCCAGGUCCAGCUUGGUGUGGUUCAGCUACUCGAGAGACAUCUGCUGCUAAUGGAUGAGCAGUCAACCUGGACGCAGGAAAUCAUUUUUUAUUUGGAAUAACUGGGAGAUGAAACAGGAAGCUCUAUGACACACUUGAUCGAAUAUGACAGACACUGAAAAUCACGACUCAUCCCCCUCCAGCACCUCUACCUGUUGCCCGCCGAUCACAGCCGGAAUGCAGCUGAAAGAUUCCCUGGGGCCUGGUUCCAACUGCCCACUGUGGACUCUGAGGCCUCUGCAUUUGCGGGUGGUCUGCCUGUGAUAUUUUGGUCAUGGGCUGGUCUGGUCGGUUUCCCAUUUGUCUGGCCAGUCUCUGUGUGUCUUAAUCCCUUGUCCUUCAUUAAAAGCAAAAC
This 615-nucleotide long non-coding RNA is filed under the name Homo sapiens (human). RNAcentral's name for it is "LHRI_LNC517.27". Lineage: Eukaryota; Metazoa; Chordata; Mammalia; Primates; Hominidae. The record is from RNAcentral.